CGCCCAGCAACUUUUAUCCCUACCUCCUCGUGGUACCGGCCGGAACCUACGAGCAACCUUACGGAAGAUCGGGUAACCAACCCUGGUGGGAACUUUGGUCGUUGGCUGACAGGGAAGG
Aedes albopictus (Asian tiger mosquito) is the source of this 118-nucleotide non-coding RNA. NCBI's taxonomy places the organism in Eukaryota, Metazoa, Arthropoda, Insecta, Diptera, Culicidae. The record is from Rfam.